CCUACGGGUGUCAGCAGUGAGGAAUAUUGGUCAAUGGGCGCGAGCCUGAACCAGCCAAGUAGCGUGAAGGAUGACUGCCCUACGGGUUGUAAACUUCUUUUAUAAAGGAAUAAAGUGAGGCAAGUAGGCCUUUUUGUAGGUACUUUAUGAAUAAGGAUCGGCUAACACAGUGCCGGCAGCCGCGGUAAUACGGAGGAUCCGAGGGUUGUCCGGAUUUGUUGGGUGUAAAGGGUGCGUAGAUGGGUUGUUAAGUCAGUUGUGAAAGUUUGCGGCUCAACCGUAAAAUUGCAAUUGAUAAUGGCAGUCUUGAGUACAGUUGAGGUAGGCGGAAUUCGUGGUGUAGCGGUGAAAUGCUUAGAUAUCACGAAGAACUCCGAUUGCGAAGGCAGCUUACUAAACUGCCACUGACAUUGAUGCUCGAAAGUGUGGGUAUCAAACAGGAUUAGAUACCCCAGUAGUC
RNAcentral lists this ribosomal RNA (460 nucleotides) under uncultured bacterium. RNAcentral's name for it is "partial 16S ribosomal RNA". It matches the Rfam family "Bacterial small subunit ribosomal RNA", at positions 338 to 795 of the family's 1533-position model. The record is from RNAcentral.